Oncorhynchus mykiss (rainbow trout) is the source of this 2046-nucleotide non-coding RNA. Lineage: Eukaryota; Metazoa; Chordata; Actinopteri; Salmoniformes; Salmonidae. The record is from RefSeq and is a predicted model, not a curated record.
GAGUACAGUAAAGUACAGUAUAGUUGAAUUCUGUGGAGUACAGUACAGUUUAGUUCAGUAGAGUACAUUAGAGUAAAGUAGGGUACAAUACAGCUUUUAUUUACUUUACCGUAGUCUAGUGUGCUCUACUGGAUUGUGCUGUACUCUACUUUACUAUACUAUACUUUUUUUUACUACUGUGUACUCCAAUGUACUUUACUCUGCUGUGCUCUACUGUACUGCGCUGCCCAAACGUGUGAAACACCAAAUCUGAACCAAUUAUAGAUGUUUGGGCUAAAUCGAGGCCGGACUGGACUGGACCAAAUCUCAGCGUCUAUGCCUGGGCCAAAUAAAGGCCGGUCUGGACCGGACGUCUGUGGAUGCCUAGGAUUGGUUAAGAUUCAACGUCAGUGGACGUUGAAAUCAAGGACUCUCCUGACUGCAAGAACAAGACGUCCUAAAGCCUGACGUCAAAUGCUUAGUGGGUGGUUCAUACUCCUCCAACCCAGCACAUUUAUGAAAUCAUGUAGUGGUUAACCAAGAAGUGUUUUUAAAGGAGAUGACUGAUGUUUAGAGUAUACUAUAAACUGAACUAGCUCUGAGAAUAUUUUCCCAAUGAAAGGUUUACUAGUUCCACUGGUUUUGCUGCUCUGUCAGUUAGGAGCACCUGAGAGUUUUCUAAGUGAAGACGCAUCCUCUGACAAAAAGACAGCACUCCAACCUGACAUCUGGUCUGAGCUGAGAGAUCUGAGAGACAUGGUGGUGCUGCAGAGAGCAGAGCUGAGACGCACCAUGGCUGAACUACGAGACACUAAGAACCAGAUGGAGGGGCUGAAAACAGAGAACUCAGGUGGUAACAGAAUACUAUGUCCAGUUUGCCCGCUACCAGCUGACUGAGUAAUUUAUACUCGGAUGAAUUUCCAUUGUUGACAUGAAAAUAAUUGUAUUUUGUUUUAGUAAUGGAGUCCAGGCUGAUGAGUUCUGAAGGACAACUUGAGGCAUUGUCAUUAUGUUGGUAUUGAUCAAGAAUAUUAUCUUUUCCCCCGUUGCAAAUGUGUGUGUAAUUUCUGUAACUCCAGCCAUAGUGAGCAGACUAACAUCCGCUGAGAGUGAGGUUGAGAGACUACAGAAGGAGAAUGCAGCAUGGGCCAUUCCACACUGUCACCACCGUGUUCUUCCAGAACAUAUUCUCAAACACUGGCAACCACUACAGCCAAGCUACAGGUGUCUUCACAGCACCGGUGAGAGGGGCCUACUACUUCGGCUUCACUAUUGGUGCAUAUCUCCAUUCCACUGUUAUGGGCCUAACACUGUUCAAGAAUGAACAGCAAAUCAUUCAUACAGGGGAGUGGGGUAACCAUGGGCAGUUUAGGUGUGCAUCCAAUACCGUCAUACUACAGCUGUAGGUGGGAGAUGUCGUUUUUAUGCAACUCCUGCAAACUACAGGAUCUUUGAUGAUUUACCUCAUUGUAACACUUGGUUCUCUGCUCUAUCCUGUGUGAGAAAGUUAACAUGUAUUAUAAUGAUGAGGUCAGUAAAGUGCUUUUGACCACAUUAUUAAAUAUAUAUAUUUUUUUCCACACACACACACACAUACACACACACACACACACACACACACACACACACACACACACACACACACACACACACACACACACACACACACACACUUUUCAACAACACAUGCUGCAAUAUUCACUUUGACCAGUUGGGGGUAGUAGAUUCCCACAGUUGGUUGUGUGUUCUUCGAUCAAAGGGGGAUGGAUACAGUCAACACAGACCUAUUAUGUGAAUGUUUUGAUGAAUUAAAAUUAUCCAACCAUUUCAGGUUAUAGGUAUUUGGGGUAUUUUUAGCCAAGUGAAGUUAAAUAGAAUCAUAUAGAAUGUUUUUCAACGUUACAGUUUGAAAAUAUUUACAAGUACAACAAACAAUGUACUGUAAUAUUGGCCUGCCCAGUCUGGUUUAAUGCAUGUUUUAGAAUUUUAAACAACUAUUUAAUUUUAGAAAUAAGUUAUUACGUAUAGGCCUUCACCAUGUUAACACAUACAGUACCAGUCAAAAGU